UGGCUCAGGAUGAACGCUAGCUACAGGCUUAACACAUGCAAGUCGAGGGGCAGCAUGGGAGUUUGCUUGCAAACUUCCGAUGGCGACCGGCGCACGGGUGAGUAACACGUAUCCAACCUGCCGAUAACUCGGGGAUAGCCUUUCGAAAGAAAGAUUAAUAUCCGAUAGGAUAUCAAGGUCGCAUGAUCUUGAUAUUAAAGAAUUUCGGUUAUCGAUGGGGAUGCGUUCCAUUAGUUAGUUGGCGGGGUAACGGCCCACCAAGACGACGAUGGAUAGGGGUUCUGAGAGGAAGGUCCCCCACAUUGGAACUGAGACACGGUCCAAACUCCUACGGGAGGCAGCAGUGAGGAAUAUUGGUCAAUGGACGAGAGUCUGAACCAGCCUAGUAGCGUGAAGGAUGACUGCCCUAUGGGUUGUAAACUUCUUUUAUAUGGGAAUAAAACAGGGUAUGCAUACCCUCUUGUAUGUACCAUAUGAAUAAGGAUCGGCUAACUCCGUGCCAGCAGCCGCGGUAAUACGGAGGAUCCGAGCGUUAUCCGGAUUUAUUGGGUUUAAAGGGAGCGUAGGUGGAUUGUUAAGUCAGUUGUGAAAGUUUGCGGCUCAACCGUAAAAUUGCAGUUGAAACUGGCAGUCUUGAGUACAGUAGAGGUGGGCGGAAUUCGUGGUGUAGCGGUGAAAUGCUUAGAUAUCACGAAGAACUCCAAUUGCGAAGGCAGCUCACUGGACUGCAACUGACACUGAUGCUCGAAAGUGUGGGUAUCAAACAGGAUUAGAUACCCUGGUAGUCCACACAGUAAACGAUGAAUACUCGCUGUUUGCGAUAUACAGUAAGCGGCCAAGCGAAAGCAUUAAGUAAUCCACCUGGGGAGUACGCCGGCAACGAUGAAACUCAAAGGAAUUGACGGGGGCCCGCACAAGCGAAGGAACAUGUGGUUUAAUUCGAUGAUACGCGAGGAACUUACCCCGGGCUAAAUUGCACUGAAUAACGUGGAGACAUGUUAGCCGCAAGGCAGGUGUGAAGGUGCUGCAUGGUGGUCGUCAGCUCGUGCCGUGAGGUGUCGGCUUAAGUGCCAUAACGAGCGCAACCCUUAUCUUUAGUUACUAACAGGUUCUGCUGAGGACUCUAGAGAGACUGCCGUCGUAAGAUGUGAGGAAGGUGGGGAUGACGUCAAAUCAGCACGGCCCUUACGUCCGGGGCUACACACGUGUUACAAUGGGGGGUACAGAAGGCAGCUACCUGGCGACAGGAUGCUAAUCCCCAAAACCUCUCUCAGUUCGGAUCGAAGUCUGCAACCCGACUUCGUGAAGCUGGAUUCGCUAGUAAUCGCGCAUCAGCCAUGGCGCGGUGAAUACGUUCCCGGGCCUUGUACACACCGCCCGUCAAGCCAUGAAAGCCGGGGGUACCUGAAGUACGUAACCGCGAGGAGCGUCCUAGGGUAAAACUGGUAAUUGGGGCUAAGUCGUAACAAGG
Molecule: ribosomal RNA, 1471 nt
Filed under: uncultured bacterium
Lineage: Bacteria
Description: 16S ribosomal RNA
Rfam family: Bacterial small subunit ribosomal RNA
Source: RNAcentral